GCCUGGCUGGCUCAGUCGGUAGAGCUUAAGACUCUUAAUCUUGGGGGUUGUGAGUUCAAGCCCCAGACUGGGCA
This 74-nucleotide transfer RNA is filed under the name Ailuropoda melanoleuca (giant panda). It matches the Rfam family "tRNA". From Rfam's summary of the family: Transfer RNA (tRNA) molecules are approximately 80 nucleotides in length. Lineage: Eukaryota; Metazoa; Chordata; Mammalia; Carnivora; Ursidae. The record is from Rfam by way of RNAcentral.